This 351-nucleotide long non-coding RNA is filed under the name Anser brachyrhynchus (Pink-footed goose). RNAcentral's name for it is "lncRNA (ENSABRG00000008821.1)". The record is from RNAcentral. Lineage: Eukaryota; Metazoa; Chordata; Aves; Anseriformes; Anatidae.
CGCAGUGUGUGGUUGUGUUCCUCAGCUUUAGGUUUUGCAGACCAAGUUUUUACAGAUCACAGCUGUAGAUUUUCCCCAGGAUUACCAUCUGGAAGCACUUGCCCAAACGUCAGAGAGCAAAGCAUCACAGGAGUUCUUGAGGCUGAUGGCCAGCCAUAGCCCAAAGUCAAACUGAUGGGACCACAAGAAGAGAAGCUAACAGGUCUGCAGCUGAAGCAGAACCAGAAGAGGAUUAGGCAUACAGCAGCCAGCACUGUGCCCAGUCAUAGCUCCAGAACCAUGUCCAGGCGAAUGCUCCUUCUGCUGAGGGCACACGAUGGGCUGGAAAUAACAAAUUGGGCAAUGAACUGA